AGAACGAACGCUGGCGGCAUGCCUAAUACAUGCAAGUCGAACGAACACUUCGGUGUUAGUGGCGCACGGGUGCGUAACGCGUGGGAAUCUGCCCUUGGGUUCGGAAUAACAGUUGGAAACGACUGCUAAUACCGGAUGAUAUCGAAAGAUCAAAGAUUUAUCGCCCAGGGAUGAGCCCGCGUAGGAUUAGCUAGUUGGUGAGGUAAAGGCUCACCAAGGCAACGAUCCUUAGCUGGUCUGAGAGGAUGAUCAGCCACACUGGGACUG
This 267-nucleotide ribosomal RNA is filed under the name uncultured soil bacterium. Its description in RNAcentral is "partial 16S ribosomal RNA". It matches the Rfam family "Bacterial small subunit ribosomal RNA", at positions 26 to 321 of the family's 1533-position model. The record is from RNAcentral.